UGGUCAGUAUCGAUCUCGACUGUGAAGGAGAUAAACUGUGAUUUUUUGGGCUGAUCUGUGUGGUUCAAAUGCGAUCUAAUGGUCAGAAUCAAGGGAUACAGGUUUAACAUGAUUUUGAGAGCUUUUAAGACUCCAUUUGCUAUCAAAAAUAAAUAAAAAAUUCAUCUAUAAAUAAGGAGAUCCAGGAAUAAGAGAAAAAAUAGAGAAAAAUAA
RNAcentral lists this long non-coding RNA (213 nucleotides) under Elaeis guineensis (African oil palm). Its description in RNAcentral is "long non-coding RNA (EGUI_LNC034769)". Lineage: Eukaryota; Viridiplantae; Streptophyta; Magnoliopsida; Arecales; Arecaceae. The record is from RNAcentral.